This 468-nucleotide ribosomal RNA is filed under the name uncultured bacterium. RNAcentral describes it as "partial 16S ribosomal RNA". It matches the Rfam family "Bacterial small subunit ribosomal RNA", at positions 28 to 507 of the family's 1533-position model. The record is from RNAcentral.
GACGAACGCUGGCGGCGUGCUUAACACAUGCAAGUCGAACGGAAAGGCCCUGCUUUUGUGGGGUGCUCGAGUGGCGAACGGGUGAGUAACACGUGAGUAACCUGCCCUUGACUUUGGGAUAACUUCAGGAAACUGGGGCUAAUACCGGAUAGGAGCUCCUGCUGCAUGGUGGGGGUUGGAAAGUUUCGGCGGUUGGGGAUGGACUCGCGGCUUAUCAGCUUGUUGGUGGGGUAGUGGCUUACCAAGGCUUUGACGGGUAGCCGGCCUGAGAGGGUGACCGGCCACAUUGGGACUGAGAUGCGGCCCAGACUCCUACGGGACGCAGCAGUGGGGAAUAUUGCACAAUGGGCGGAAGCCUGAUGCAGCAACGCCGCGUGCGGGAUGACGGCCUUCGGGUUGUAAUCCGCUUUCGCCUGUGACGAAGCGUGAGUGACGGUAAUGGGUAAAGAAGCACCGGCUAACUACGUG